This 89-nucleotide microRNA precursor is filed under the name Petromyzon marinus (sea lamprey). RNAcentral describes it as "microRNA pma-mir-137 precursor (pma-mir-137-2)". Its record names the gene pma-mir-137-2. The stretch from base 10 to 80 matches the Rfam family "mir-137 microRNA precursor family". Lineage: Eukaryota; Metazoa; Chordata; Hyperoartia; Petromyzontiformes; Petromyzontidae. The record is from miRBase by way of RNAcentral.
GGUGCCUCCCGCGGCCACGGGUAUUCUUGGGUAUAUAAUACAGAUUGCGUUGUUAUUGCUUAAGAAUACACGUAGCCGCGGCGGGCCGC